RNAcentral lists this transfer-messenger RNA (347 nucleotides) under Candidatus Eiseniibacteriota bacterium. It matches the Rfam family "transfer-messenger RNA". Rfam says of the family: Bacterial tmRNA, also known as 10Sa RNA or SsrA, is named for its dual tRNA and mRNA-like properties. Lineage: Bacteria; Candidatus Eiseniibacteriota. The record is from RNAcentral.
GGGGGCGAAAGGAUUUCGACGUGGACGACUGAGUGCGCGUGGCAUGCCGACCCGUCAGCAAGUCGCUAAACUGUUGGCAAACCAUUAUUUGCCGAGCCUAUGGCUCUUGCUGCUUAAAUAAAAGCAGCACGUCGACCGGACGACGCCCGCUGAUCCGGAAGACGCCGCUAGCGGGCUGGCCGCUUUCAGUUCUCCCUGGCGCGAAGCGGUGAGAGACAGCAGGGAUAGUCCGGGAAAGAUCACUUCCCCGGGAGCUUUCGCGGACGAAUUUAAGUACGGGGAAUAAGCAUGUAGAAGCGCGUAUGAUGUGUUCGCGGACGGGAGUUCGAUUCUCCCCGCCUCCACAA